RNAcentral lists this ribosomal RNA (250 nucleotides) under uncultured prokaryote. Its description in RNAcentral is "partial 16S ribosomal RNA". It matches the Rfam family "Bacterial small subunit ribosomal RNA", at positions 524 to 773 of the family's 1533-position model. The record is from RNAcentral.
UACGGAGGAUCCGAGCGUUAUCCGGAUUCAUUGGGUUUAAAGGGUGCGCAGGCGGAAUUGCAAGUCCGUGGUGAAAGACUCCGGCUCAACCGGGGCAGUGCCGCGGAAACUGCAGUCCUUGAGUGGUGACGACGGGGGCGGAAUGCAGCGUGUAGCGGUGAAAUGCAUAGAUACGCUGCAGAACGCCGAUUGCGAAGGCAGCCCCCGAGGGACCAACUGACGCUGAGGCACGAAGGCAUGGGGAUCGAAC